Amphimedon queenslandica is the source of this 296-nucleotide long non-coding RNA. RefSeq lists it as uncharacterized. The record is from RefSeq and is a predicted model, not a curated record. NCBI's taxonomy places the organism in Eukaryota, Metazoa, Porifera, Demospongiae, Haplosclerida, Niphatidae. The transcript is spliced from 3 exons.
UAUGUGGUAAUGGAUAUUGUGUACCAACUAACAGUUGUGUAUGUAAUCCUGGCUGGACUGGAGACAGGUGUAGAACAGAUAUAAAUGAAUGCAGUCAUAAUGUGUGUGAUCAAAUAUGUAUCAAUACUCAAGGAUCAUAUACUUGUGACUGUAACACUGGGUAUCAGUUGAGGAAUGACAACUCAACCUGUGAAGAUAUUAACGAAUGUGAGACUAUUGAUCACAAUUGUACACAAACUUGCAGUAAUACAGUUGGAUCAUACACCUGUUCUUGUAGAGCUGGAUAUAAAAAUAAU